CCGUCCACGGUGGCAAAGAACCACAACACGAUCGUGUUGUCGUCGUCGCGCCACUGCGGAUUGGAGAGGCGGACGGCCGCACCGUCCUGGACAUGGUUUUCGACGUGGUAGCGGGCGAGGAUGAGGUUGAGGAAGUUGCGCCACCGGAUGAAGUUUGUCCCAUCAAGGGGCAGCUUGAAAUCCACAACAUCAGAGAUGCUGGAAGGGAGGCGGGAGGGUGGUGGAGCAAGGAGGUUCGCAGCCGGGAGGGGCGCAGCCGGGGCAGUGGAGAGGGAGAGGUCACCGGGGAGGGG
This 293-nucleotide long non-coding RNA is filed under the name Hordeum vulgare. RNAcentral's name for it is "long non-coding RNA (HVUL_LNC011285)". Lineage: Eukaryota; Viridiplantae; Streptophyta; Magnoliopsida; Poales; Poaceae. The record is from RNAcentral.